This 105-nucleotide transfer RNA is filed under the name Microbotryum lychnidis-dioicae p1A1 Lamole. Its description in RNAcentral is "tRNA-Met for anticodon CAU". It matches the Rfam family "tRNA". From Rfam's summary of the family: Transfer RNA (tRNA) molecules are approximately 80 nucleotides in length. Their secondary structure includes four short double-helical elements and three loops (D, anti-codon, and T loops). Lineage: Eukaryota; Fungi; Basidiomycota; Microbotryomycetes; Microbotryales; Microbotryaceae. The record is from Rfam by way of RNAcentral.
GCCUGCUUGGUCUAGUUGGUUAUGACGCUAGUCUCAUAGUAUUAAGCUGUGACUCCCGGUUGGGGGGAAAUCUGGAGGUCGAGAGUUCGAUCCUCUCAGCGGGCA